AUGAAGCGGUCUGGAAAGGCCCGCCAAAGACGGUAACAGCCCGGUAGUUGAAAUGGCUUUCCCUCCAGAGUGGAUCCUGAGUACGGCGGAACACGUGAAAUUCCGUCGGAAUCCGGGAGGACCAUCUCCCAAGGCUAAAUACUCCCUAGUGACCGAUAGUGAACCAGUACCGUGAGGGAAAGGUGAAAAGCACCCCGGAAGGGGAGUGAAACAGUUCCUGAAACCGUGUGCCUACAAGUAGUUAGAGCCCGUUAAUGGGUGAUAGCGUGCCUUUUGUAGAAUGAACCGGCGAGUUACGAUUUGUUGCAAGGUUAAGCGGAAAAAGCGGAGCCGUAGCGAAAGCGAGUCUGAAUAGGGCGCAUAAGUAACAGGUCGUAGACCCGAAACCAGGUGAUCUACCCAUGUCCAGGAUGAAGGUAAGGUAAUACUUACUGGAGGUCCGAACCCACGCACGUUGAAAAGUGCGGGGAUGAGGUGUGGGUAGCGGAGAAAUUCCAAUCGAACUUGGAGAUAGCUGGUUCUCUCCGAAAUAGCUUUAGGGCUAGCCUCGAGGUAAAGAGUCAUGGAGGUAGAGCACUGUUUGGACUAGGGGCCCUUCUCGGGUUACCGAAUUCAGAUAAACUCCGAAUGCCAUGUACUUAUACUCGGGAGUCAGACUGCGAGUGAUAAGAUCCGUAGUCGAAAGGGAAACAGCCCAGACCACCAGUUAAGGUCCCCAAAUAUAUGUUAAGUGGAAAAGGAUGUGGGGUUGCUUAGACAACCAGGAUGUUGGCUUAGAAGCAGCCACCAUUGAAAGAGUGCGUAAUAGCUCACUGGUCGAGUGACCCCGCGCCGAAAAUGUACCGGGGCUAAACAUAUUACCGAAACUGUGGAUGAACCUCUUUAGAGGUUCGUGGUAGGAGAGCGUUCUAAGGGCGGUGAAGUCAGACCGGAAGGACUGGUGGAGCGCUUAGAAGUGAGAAUGCCGGUAUGAGUAGCGAAAGAAGGGUGAGAAUCCCUUCCACCGAAUAUCUAAGGUUUCCUGAGGAAGGCUCGUCCGCUCAGGGUUAGUCGGGACCUAAGCCGAGGCCGAUAGGCGUAGGCGAUGGACAACAGGUAGAGAUUCCUGUACCAGUGCUAAUUGUUUAACCGAUGGGGUGACACAGAAGGAUAGGGAAUCGCACGAAUGGAAAUGUGCGUCCAAGCAGUGAGUGUGAGAAGUAGGCAAAUCCGCUUCUCGCGAAGCAUGAGCUGUGAUGGGGAAGGAAAUUAAGUACGGAAGUUCCUGAUUUCACGCUGUCAAGAAAAGCCUCUAGGAAGAGUAGUACUGCCCGUACCGCAAACCGACACAGGUAGAUGAGGAGAGAAUCCUAAGGUGAGCGAGAGAACUCUCGUUAAGGAACUCGGCAAAAUGACCCCGUAACUUCGGGAGAAGGGGUGCUCUAUUAGGGUGCAAGCCCGAGAGAGCCGCAGUGAAUAGGCCCAGGCGACUGUUUAGCAAAAACACAGGUCUCUGCAAAACCGUAAGGUGACGUAUAGGGGCUGACGCCUGCCCGGUGCUGGAAGGUUAAGAGGAGUGCUUAGCUUCGGCGAAGGUACGAAUUGAAGCCCCAGUAAACGGCGGCCGUAACUAUAACGGUCCUAAGGUAGCGAAAUUCCUUGUCGGGUAAGUUCCGACCCGCACGAAAGGCGCAACGAUCUGGGCACUGUCUCAACGAGAGACUCGGUGAAAUUAUAGUACCUGUGAAGAUGCAGGUUACCCGCGACAGGACGGAAAGACCCCGUGGAGCUUUACUGCAACCUGAUAUGGAAUGUUUGUACCGCUUGUACAGGAUAGGUAGGAGCCGAAGAGACGUGUGCGCUAGCAUACGAGGAGGCAAUGGUGGGAUACUACCCUGGCUGUAUGACCAUUCUAACCCGCCACGCUUAGCGCGUGGGGAGACAGUGUCAGGUGGGCAGUUUGACUGGGGCGGUCGCCUCCUAAAGAGUAACGGAGGCGCCCAAAGGUUCCCUCAGAAUGGAUGGAAAUCAUUCGCAGAGUGUAAAGGCACAAGGGAGCUUGACUGCGAGACUGACAAGUCGAGCAGGGACGAAAGUCGGGCUUAGUGAUCCGGUGGUUCCGCAUGGAAGGGCCAUCGCUCAACGGAUAAAAGCUACCCCGGGGAUAACAGGCUUAUCUCCCCCAAGAGUCCACAUCGACGGGGAGGUUUGGCACCUCGAUGUCGGCUCGUCGCAUCCUGGGGCUGUAGUCGGUCCCAAGGGUUGGGCUGUUCGCCCAUUAAAGCGGCACGCGAGCUGGGUUCAGAACGUCGUGAGACAGUUCGGUCCCUAUCCGUCGCGGGCGCAGGAAAUUUGAGAGGAGCUGUCCUUAGUACGAGAGGACCGGGAUGGACACACCGCUGGUGUACCAGUUGUUCCGCCAGGAGCAUCGCUGGGUAGCUAUGUGUGGCAGGGAUAAACGCUGAAAGCAUCUA
Molecule: ribosomal RNA, 2453 nt
Filed under: Listeria monocytogenes
Lineage: Bacteria; Bacillati; Bacillota; Bacilli; Caryophanales; Listeriaceae
Description: partial 23S ribosomal RNA
Rfam family: Bacterial large subunit ribosomal RNA
Source: RNAcentral